UCUCUCUCAAUUAAUUUCAAUUUGCUUUAUUGGCAUGACGUAACGAUGUACAUAUUGCCAAAGCUUAUUUUGGAUAUUUACAAUUAAAAAUACAAAUGAGAAUCAAAAUUGUCAAUGGAACAACAGUAACAACAAUAACCAAGUGUCAAAAUAACCAACACAUUCAACAAUAACAAUGAGCACACAGUAGAGGACAUGUGAAGGUUGAUUGGUCUGUCAGACACUGUCCCUCAAUGUAGUGCCCUGCCAACCCACAGCUCUCUGCGUCCUCCCCCAACAGGACGGGUAGCCUGUCAUCAUCAGAGACGUCGGGUUUCAAAUUAGGGGAAAUGACACUCUCUAGUUGUUUUAUAUUUUUGACAUUUUGUCAGGAAAUGCAGCUCCGUCUCAGGUUCUGCUGUGGUGCAGUGGUUGCACAGCCUUUCCUCUACAGGGAGCCAGGUUUUCCUGUGUCUACCCUUCUCAAUGGCAAGGCUGUGCUCACUGAGCCUGUACUUUGUCAAGGUUUUUCUAAGGUUUUGAUCAGUAACCAUGGUCAAAUAUUUAGCCACAGUGUACUGUGGAUUUAGGGCCAGGUAGCACUGCAUUUUUGCUUUGUGCUUGUGUUUGUGUUUCCCAAUAAGAAACAUCGUUUUGUUUGACUGUGUUGUAAUUUGGUUUAUCCUGAUUGAUUGGAUGUUCUGGUCCUGAGGCUUCAGUGUGUUAGUAGAACAGGUCUGUGAACUCAGCCCCAGGACCAGCUGGAUGAGGGGACUGAGGCUUCAGUGUGUUAGUAGAACAGGUUAGUGAACUCAGCCCCAGGACCAGCUGGAUGAGGGGACUGAGGUUUCAGUGUGUUAGUAGAACAGGUUUGUGAUCUCAGCCCCAGGACCAGCUGGAUGAGGGGACUGAGGUUUCAGUGUGUUAGUAGAACAGGUCUGUGAACUCAGCCCCAGGACCAGCUGGAUGAGGGGACUGAGGCUUCAGUGAGUUAGUAGAACAGGUUUGUGAUCUCAGCCCCAAGACCAGCUGGAUGAGGGGACUGAGGCUUCAGUGUGUUAGUAGAACAGGUCUGUGAACUCAGCCCCAGGACCAGCUGGAUGAGGGGACUGAGGCUUCAGUGUGUUAGUAGAACAGGUUUGUGAACUCAGGACCAGCUGGAUGAGGGGACUGAGGCUUCAGUGUGUUAGUAGAACAGGUUUGUGAACUCAGGACCAGCUGGAUGAGGGGACUGAGGCUUCAGUGUGUUAGUAGAACAGGUUUGUGAACUCAGGACCAGCUGGAUGAGGGGACUCUUUUCUUUGCUCAGCUCUUGGCAUUGCAGGGCUUGGUAAUGAUAUGAGAGGGGGUCACUGUAUUUGAGAUGUUUCCAAAACUUAAUUGCUCUUUUUUGAGUUUUUAUUAUUAGUGGAUAUUGGCCAAAUUCUGCCCUGCAUGUAUUGUUUGUAGUUUUCAUCUGGACAUUUUUUUAUUUUUUUUAUUUUAUUUUUUACCUUUAUUUAACCAGGCAAGUCAGUUAAGAACACAUUCUUAUUUUCAAUGACGGCCUGGGAACAGUGGGUUAACUGCCUGUUCAGGGGCAGAACGACAGAUGUCGUUGUCAGCUCGGGGGUUUGAACUCGCAACCUUCCGGUUAUUAGUCCAACGCUCUAACCACUAGGCUAUCCUGCCACCCUGGACAUGUAGGAGAAUCUCACAGAACUCUGCAUGCAGGGUUUCAAUGGGGUGUUUGUCCCAUUUGAUGAAAUCUUGUUUUGCAAGUGGACCUCACACCUCGCUGCCAUAAAGUGGACCUCACACCUCGCUGCCAUAAAGUGGACCCCACACCUCGCUGCCAUAAAGUGGACCUCACACCUCGCUGCCAUAAAGUGGACCCCACACCUCGCUGCCAUAAAGUGGACCUGACACCUCGCUGCCAUAAAGUGCAAUUGGUUCAAUGACAUAUUCAAUUACUUUUAGCCAAAUUUGAAUAGGCAUUUCAAUUUGAAUGAGCUUUUUAAUGGCGUAGAAUGCCCUGCGUGCUUUCUCUCUCAGUUCAUUCACUGACUCAUUAAGGUGUCCAGUAGAGCUUAUUUUUAAACCUAAGUACUUGCAGUGUGUGCAGUACUCUAUAUAUUUUCUACCAAUUGAGAACUUUGGUCUAAUUCCCUGAGAUCUGGAUCUUCUCUGGAAAAUCAUGAUUUUUUUUGUAUUUUUGGGGUUUUACUGCCCUCUCUCUGUCUCUCUGUCUCUGUCUCUCUCUCUCUCUCUCUCUCUCUCUCUCUCUCUCUCUGUGUGUCUCUCUCUCUCUGUCUCUGUGUCUCUCUCUCUCUCUCUGUCUCUGUGUCUCUCUCUCUCUCUGUCUCUGUGUCUCUCUCUCUCUCUGUCUCUGUGUCUCUCUCUCUCUGUCUCUCUCUCUCUCUGUGUCUCUCUCUCUGUCUCUCUCUCUCUCUCUCUCUGUGUCUCUCUCUCUCUCUGUCUCUCUCUCUCUCUCUGUGUCUCUCUCUCUCUCUGUGUCUCUCUCUCUCUCUCUCUCUGUGUCUCUCUCUCUCUCUGUGUCUCUCUCUCUCUCUGUGUCUCUCUCUCUCUCUCUGUCUCUCUCUCUCUGUGUCUCUCUCUUUCUCUCUCUCUCUGUCUCUCUCUGUCUCUCUCUCUAUGUCUCUCUCUCUCUCUAUGUCUCUCU
Molecule: long non-coding RNA, 2641 nt
Organism: Oncorhynchus keta (chum salmon)
Lineage: Eukaryota; Metazoa; Chordata; Actinopteri; Salmoniformes; Salmonidae
Exons: 3
Source: RefSeq, a predicted model, not a curated record